Molecule: transfer RNA, 71 nt
Filed under: Stegodyphus mimosarum
Lineage: Eukaryota; Metazoa; Arthropoda; Arachnida; Araneae; Eresidae
Rfam family: tRNA
About the family: Transfer RNA (tRNA) molecules are approximately 80 nucleotides in length.
Source: Rfam by way of RNAcentral
GUCUUUGUGGUGUAACGGUAGCACAAUCGGCUGGUAUUCGAGAGGUCCGAGUUCGCGUCCCGGCGAGGGCA